RNAcentral lists this ribosomal RNA (468 nucleotides) under uncultured bacterium. Its description in RNAcentral is "partial 16S ribosomal RNA". It matches the Rfam family "Bacterial small subunit ribosomal RNA", at positions 28 to 507 of the family's 1533-position model. The record is from RNAcentral.
GACGAACGCUGGCGGCGUGCUUAACACAUGCAAGUCGAACGGAAAGGCCCUGCUUUUGUGGGGUGCUCGAGUGGCGAACGGGUGAGUAACACGUGAGUAACCUGCCCUUGACUUUGGGAUAACUUCAGGAAACUGGGGCUAAUACCGGAUAGGAGCUCCUGCUGCAUGGUGGGGGUGGGAAAGUUUCGGCGGUUGGGGAUGGACUCGCGGCUUAUCAGCUUGUUGGUGGGGUAGUGGCUUACCAAGGCUUUGACGGGUAGCCGGCCUGAGAGGGUGACCGGCCACCUUGGUACUGCGAUACGGCCCAGUCUCCUACGGUAGGCAGCAGUGGGGAAUAUUGCGCAAUGGGCGGAAGCCUGAUGCAGCAACGCCGCGUGCGGGAUGUCGGCCUUCGGGUUGUAAACCGCUUUCGGCUGUGACGAAGCGUGAGUGACGGUAAUGGGUAAAGAAGCACCGGCUAACUACGUG